This 420-nucleotide ribosomal RNA is filed under the name uncultured eukaryote. RNAcentral's name for it is "SSU rRNA". It matches the Rfam family "Eukaryotic small subunit ribosomal RNA", at positions 592 to 1018 of the family's 1831-position model. The record is from RNAcentral.
CAAUAGCGUAUAUUAAAGUUGUUGCGGUUAAAAAGCUCGUAGUUGGAUUUCUGCUGAGGACGACCGGUCCGCCCUCCGGGUGAGCAUCUGGUUCGGCCUUGGCAUCUUCUUGGUGAACGUAUCUGCACUUGACUGUGUGGUGCGGUACCCAGGACUUUUACUUUGAGGAAAUUAGAGUGUUUCAAGCAGGCAUACGCCUUGAAUACAUUAGCAUGGAAUAAUAAGAUAGGACUUUGGUACUAUUUUGUUGGUUUGUAUACCAAGGUAAUGAUUAACGGGGACAGUUGGGGGUAUUCGUAUUUAAUUGUCAGAGGUGAAAUUCUUGGAUUUAUGAAAGACGAACUACUGCGAAAGCAUUUACCAAGGAUGUUUUCAUUAAUCAAGAACGAAAGUGAAGGGAUCGAAGAUGAUAGAUACCGU